CAAUAGAUACCCUGGUAGUCCACGCCCUAAACGAUGCGAACUGGAUGUUGGGUACAUUACGGUACUCAGUGUCGAAGCUAACGCGUUAAGUUCGCCGCCUGGGGAGUACGGUCGCAAGACUGAAACUCAAAGGAAUUGACGGGGGCCCGCACAAGCGGUGGAGUAUGUGGUUUAAUUCGAUGCAACGCGAAGAACCUUACCUGGCCUUGACAUCUGUCGAAUCCUGCAGAGAUGCGGGAGUGCCGCAAGGAACGACAAGACAGGUGCUGCAUGGCUGUCGUCAGCUCGUGUCGUGAGAUGUUGGGUUAAGUCCCGCAACGAGCGCAACCCUUGUCCCUAGUUGCCAGCACGUAAUGGUGGGAACCCUAGGGAGACCGCCGGUGACAAACCGGAGGAAGGUGGGGAUGACGUCAAGUCCUCAUGGCCCUUACGGCCAGGGCUACACACGUACUACAAUGGUCGGUACAGAGGGUUGCGAAGCCGCGAGGUGGAGCCAAUCCCAGAAAACCCGAUCCCAGUCCGGAUCGGAGU
Molecule: ribosomal RNA, 531 nt
Filed under: uncultured bacterium
Lineage: Bacteria
Description: bacterial SSU rRNA
Rfam family: Bacterial small subunit ribosomal RNA
Source: RNAcentral